Molecule: non-coding RNA, 28 nt
Filed under: Mus musculus (house mouse)
Lineage: Eukaryota; Metazoa; Chordata; Mammalia; Rodentia; Muridae
Source: RNAcentral
UAAGAUAGGCUAACUAACGGUGUGAUAC